GGUUUCCAGUCAAUCCAUGACCAAAGGUUUGACUAUUAAUCUAUGAUACAGAGGAAAUGUCCAAUUCACAAAAGCAGUGCAUUCCAAACUCUUGGGAGUUGAUUGUUUUGGGAACUGAGGAUAUUUUUCCUCCUCCUUAUAAUAAACAAUAUUACAAACGAUGGUGAGAUUUCCAGACCAGCCCCACAAAAGCUCCCUUGACUCAUAACAUUGUCGAGGCCCUGGACUUUUGCAGUGAAAACUGGUAGAAAGUAGUUUUGUUGUAAUACCAGUAAACAAACUCAAAUGUGGACACCAUCGUUUCCUUUCUCCUGAAUUCUAUUUAAUGAAACAACCCAUUUAAUGAAAGAAAGAUAAGGAGAAAGAUAAGAGACUUUUUAGGAAGUGACUCCAAUUUAUAAGAAUUUUGGGGGCUGAUAGCAGCCGUCUAUGGUUAUUUUGUCUGUUCAGUUUGGAUACCUUUUUCCUUUUCCUUCAUAAAUGCAAGACACAAAGGAGCCAAGACAGGGCAGAUUUGGGGCUUACUUAGGAAGACAGCAAAGGAUGGAGGAGGAGAAGCAAAAAGUUUGAAAGAGAGUUCCUUGCUGGGGCGAUUCGAGCACAUCAUUGGGGGGCGGGGUAGGUUGCCUAAAUCAGCCUUUACUGAUUUGCUAAGGAAACUGAGGAGAAGAUGUUAGAUCCAAGUGCCCCUGACCCUUGAGUCCCAAGAGAGGGACUAGGAGAGGCCACUAUUUAGUCAGACAGUUCCCUCUCUGGCCAUAAGGUGGCGCCAACAGCCCAGACAGUCGGUCCCGUGGGGGCGUGGCUUGCAGGGGGAGGAGCUCUCCACGUGGAAGCCACGUUUUCCACUCUGGCUCUGGAACUCACGGAAAGCCUGGACUAGACAGCAAGAAUCAACCUACAGGACACUGCCUUAUCAUCUAACACUUCCCAUCCUCUGAGGCCCCACCCUGCUAACACCAGAGCAAGAACACCUUAGUAGGCAGGCAAUCCACCAAUUACUUCCCAUUCAUCUCAUCCAUUGCCUCCUCCCUAGUGUCAGCUGGAGGCCUCUGACCUCUUCCUAACUCCAAAAGGAAUCUAGUCUAAGGGUUUUCUGGAGUUUCAUCCUUAAAUAUCAUCACGCUGAGAAAACAGGAUCUUCUCUGGGAAGCACAGAUUUGUCACAAACGCCCCCCCACCAGGCCCCAGAGGCCCUUGCCAGCUUUUUCUUCCACUUGCAUACCAAACUGGGCAACCCCUACUCCGGAUACAAAACCCAACACAUCCCGACUCCAUUCAUUCACCCCUGCCUGUCCUCUCUCCUGGGAUACCCCCAGUUACUUUCCUCUGCUUAUAAGUACCCUUUCCCCUUUCAAAAUCUAACCCCAAUUCCCUCCUCCCCUAAACCUACUCAUUGGAUCUAACUGGUGAACUGGAGUCAGAGAGGAGGACUUGGGUUCCAUGCAUCGACCACAGAAGCCCCGGUGUCCUAAGCGGAGCCUGCCUCAUCCUUUCCACUGCCAGCUGCAAAACUGAGAAGGACGUUUUCUUUUGUCUUUUUUGUCUUUUCUAGGGUCGCACCUGUGGCAUAUGGAGGUUCCCAGGCUAGGGGUUGAAUCGGAGCUACAGCUGUCGGCCACAGCAAUGCCAAAUCCUUAACCCGCUGAGCGAGGCCAGGGAUCCAACCUGCAACCUCAUGGUUCCUAGUUGGGUUGUUAACCACUGAGCCACAAUGGGAACUCCCAAGAAGGACGUUUUCUUCCCAACUAGAGAGACACCAACGUCUGCUGGCACAAGGCAUAGCACUGUUUGUUCUCGCUUGGUGUUUACCUUACAAUAUAAUCACCGUUACGAUAAUCACAACCACCCAUUUCCCACACUCUACUCUCACCAACCACAGUCUGUCACACCGGGCUGAGUUCUAGAGGUAGAAGAACGCGGGGAGAUCACAACACAGUCACCAGCCUGAGCCCUUCUCCCCACUGUCACCCCAGGCCUAUGGCCUAGACUGGUAAUCCCAGCCAACUACCUCUUGACUGCAGAAUUUUCUCAGCCCUGACAGGACUGACUGGGAUGGGCAUUCUUCUCUGGAUGCUUAGCCUUGGCUGGUGGCCUGGACAAGAAAUUUUUCAGACCUAGUUAGUACCUGUGCUUGCAAGACCUCAA
This 2148-nucleotide long non-coding RNA is filed under the name Sus scrofa (pig). RNAcentral's name for it is "lncRNA (multiple genes)". The record is from RNAcentral. Lineage: Eukaryota; Metazoa; Chordata; Mammalia; Artiodactyla; Suidae.